This 237-nucleotide long non-coding RNA is filed under the name Olea europaea (common olive). RNAcentral's name for it is "long non-coding RNA (OEUR_LNC009100)". Lineage: Eukaryota; Viridiplantae; Streptophyta; Magnoliopsida; Lamiales; Oleaceae. The record is from RNAcentral.
AGUUUUGAUAAUUAGGCUAGAAACAAAGUUGGCAUUUACAAGAAAACAUGAAAAUUGUCUAUUUAUGAGGCAACAGAACUUGAUCAAUCGACUACUUUGUCUGUGUAGUUAAUGACAUUUGCUUAUAUUCUUGAACUGAUCUCUCUACCUUUUAUCUUACUGUUUUCUUGAGAAUUAUCAAACUAGCCUUGUUAUUUGUGACAAAACAAUGCAAAUCCACUAUGUGGUCGAGGCCCC